This 440-nucleotide ribosomal RNA is filed under the name uncultured bacterium. RNAcentral describes it as "partial 16S ribosomal RNA". It matches the Rfam family "Bacterial small subunit ribosomal RNA", at positions 338 to 795 of the family's 1533-position model. The record is from RNAcentral.
CCUACGGGUGGCAGCAGUGGGGGAUAUUGCACAAUGGGGGGAACCCUGAUGCAGCGACGCCGCGUGGGUGAAGAAGCGCCUCGGCGCGUAAAGCCCUGUCAGCAGGGAAGAAAAUGCCGGUACCUGAAGCAGAAGCCCCGGCUAACUCCGUGCCAGCAGCCGCGGUAAUACGUAGGGGGCAAGCGUUAUCCGGAUUUACUGGGUGUAAAGGGAGCGCAGGCGGCGCGUUAAGCCUGUUGUGAAAGCCCGCGGCCCAACCGCGGGACUGCAUUGGGAACUGGCGCGCUGGAGUUCCGGAGGGGUAGGCGGAAUGCCUAGUGUAGCGGUGAAAUGCGUAGAUAUUAGGAGGAACACCGAUGGCGAAGGCAGCCUACUGAACGGUGACUGACGCUGAGGCUCGAAAGCGUGGGGAGCAAACAGGAUUAGAUACCCCUGUAGUC